GAACAGGGAGGUGUCAGACUCCAUUUUCCCUCGGAUGAGCAGAAGGAAGAAAAGUGAGCAGAAUCGUACGUUACAGCAGUGGUCACCAACCUGUGGAGAGUCUUCACUGUGGAUCCCAGUAAAGCUCUGGACUCACUGGCUGAGGAGUGAGAGACAUCGACCUGCAGACACAGGGAGAGGAAGAGGAGUCAUGUUUCUGAGGAGGAGGAGUCGUCCUGCUGUGCUUCGUGUCA
This is a long non-coding RNA of Hippoglossus stenolepis (Pacific halibut), 233 nucleotides long. RefSeq lists it as uncharacterized. The record is from RefSeq and is a predicted model, not a curated record. The transcript is spliced from 3 exons. Lineage: Eukaryota; Metazoa; Chordata; Actinopteri; Pleuronectiformes; Pleuronectidae.